RNAcentral lists this ribosomal RNA (244 nucleotides) under uncultured Actinomycetales bacterium. Its description in RNAcentral is "partial 16S ribosomal RNA". It matches the Rfam family "Bacterial small subunit ribosomal RNA", at positions 89 to 334 of the family's 1533-position model. The record is from RNAcentral. Lineage: Bacteria; Bacillati; Actinomycetota; Actinomycetes; Actinomycetales.
GCUCGAGUGGCGAACGGGUGAGUAACACGUGAGUAACCUGCCCUUGACCUUGGGAUAACUUCAGGAAACUGGGGCUAAUACCGGAUAGGAGCUCCUGCUGCAUGGUGGGGGUUGGAAAGUUUCGGCGGUUGGGGAUGGACUCGCGGCUUAUCAGCUUGUUGGUGGGGUAGUGGCUUACCAAGGCUUUGACGGGUAGCCGGCCUGAGAGGGUGACCGGCCACAUUGGGACUGAGAUACGGCCCAG